RNAcentral lists this long non-coding RNA (1172 nucleotides) under Homo sapiens (human). RNAcentral describes it as "novel transcript, antisense to TACC2". Lineage: Eukaryota; Metazoa; Chordata; Mammalia; Primates; Hominidae. The record is from RNAcentral.
GUGGUGGGAGGGGCUCCCCUCAGUGGCCCGGUGGUGGAGAUGCUUCCGAGACGAAAGCACAGAAAGCAAAUGCAGAACUUCCCUGCCUCUCCGUCCUUCCCUCAUUUUGAACAGAGACAGCAGCUACCUGUGACUGCCCUGGGGUGAAUGUGCAGCAUCUGGGGUAAAUUUCUUCCCACGCCUGCCCGCAGCAGUCGAGACAGAAGCUGGCACAGGGCUGCCCUUCUUGUGAGCCAGGCAGCAAAAACCAGGCGCUGAGGCUCAGAACUGCUGACUCAAGCCUCCAUGAAGGAACAGAAAUCCAGAAAGCCGGGCCAGAAAUAGCAUCCGUGAGCAUCUAUUGAUAGCAUAAAGUCCGUGGGCAGAGUCCCAGUUCCCACCCUGAGUCCUGCCAAACAGUGCUGCAACAGUCAGCGUUCUGGCCACAGAGAGUGAGGAUGCAGGAUGGCUCGGCCCAUUUCCCCAACUACGUCAGUCUGGACAGAUGUCUCAGGCUGUGUUGGCAGAGGCACUGCUGGUACCACGUGCCAACCUCGGGACAAGCUGCCUCCUCUUGGAAAUGAAGCAGGGACGAUGCACCAGGGAAUCAUGUCAUCAAGUCAGCCGUGUCAACACGCGUUUAUGGAAUGGAAUGGAAUAGAGUAUCACUGCAGCCCACCAAGUAAGGGAAGGUCCGUGCCAAUCGUGGACACAUAUGGGGCUGAAGCCAGCGGGACAGCCCAGCACCCACUCCGCGGCAGCUCACAUUUCGGAGACUGAGCGGGAACCAGGGGACCCAUCAAUGCCUCCGCGCGUCUCACCGGCCGGUGACGUGGCUCAGCGUAGUUAUGCUCAGUCUGCCCCGGACCCAGUGGGCCUCAGAGGCAAGAGAACAAUGGAAACUUGACCUGCGUAACCAAGGAAUGAUGCCACGAGAGCCCAGUUUGGUCAGCGCAGAGUCUAAUCCCCGGAGACCCUCAGCCCAACAACCCAGCCCCUUUCCCUAGUGAGGCAGAGAGGCUCAUCUGCACCCCGCCUACAAGGCAAAGUGCCGCGCUGGGGAGCGGACUGGCGAACUGGCUCCAGAGCGAAGAUGCAUCAUGUUUUCCAAAGGGCUGACUUCUCUAACUCGGGUGGAGGGAAUGGGGAGGUUUCUGCCCUUCCCCUCCUGCGCAGGAAAAACUCUGGAGUCU